Long non-coding RNA from Coffea eugenioides, 634 nucleotides. RefSeq lists it as uncharacterized. The transcript is spliced from 3 exons. The record is from RefSeq and is a predicted model, not a curated record. Lineage: Eukaryota; Viridiplantae; Streptophyta; Magnoliopsida; Gentianales; Rubiaceae.
GUGGUUUGUUUUACAGAAAAAAAAUAUGAUGAUGGUAUUAAAGAAUGCACAAAAGCAUUGGAGCUAAACCUUAACUACAUAAGUGUUUUGCUAAGAAGAGCAGAGGUGUAUGAAAAGUUGUAACAAUUUGAAGAGACUAUAGCAGAUAUGACAAAGGUUUUGGAAGUUGACCCAUCAUAUGAUCAAGCUAGAAGACAGAUUGUUCGCUUGAAGCCAUUAGCAGAUGAAAAACGUCAAAAGAUGAAGGAAGAAAUGAUUGUUGACCAUUGGUGGUAUGAACUUCUUUGGGUAGUUGCUGUUAAAUGAUUCUUUUUUGCUCUUCACGUGUAAAUAUAGGAAUGCUUCAUUUUUGCAAAAGAAAAUGUGUUCUAGGGGAGAAGAGUGGAGGAGGAGGAGAGGAUCUGGAAUUUUUGCAAAAGUAAAAGGAGCUAGUGUGAGCUGAGGUGGCUAGUGCAUUCGGAAGAUUCUGGAGGAAGGGGAAGGUUAAUGUGAGCAGAUAAAGCUUUGCUUCAGGUGCUGCUAAAGAAUAGAUGCUUGUGGAAGUGGACAAACGAUUACUGAGAUUAGCACAAGGAUGGUUUAAGGGAAAUGUAAGCUGAGGGAAAUUGGAAAUUGCAAUUCUGGUCAAUUUGGA